This 1372-nucleotide ribosomal RNA is filed under the name uncultured bacterium. RNAcentral describes it as "bacterial SSU rRNA". It matches the Rfam family "Bacterial small subunit ribosomal RNA", at positions 28 to 1381 of the family's 1533-position model. The record is from RNAcentral.
GAUGAACGCUGGCGGCGUGCCUAAUACAUGCAAGUCGAGCGAACGGACGAGAAGCUUGCUUCUCUGAUGUUAGCGGCGGACGGGUGAGUAACACGUGGAUAACCUACCUAUAAGACUGGGAUAACUUCGGGAAACCGGAGCUAAUACCGGAUAAUAUUUUGAACCGCAUGGUUCAAAAGUGAAAGACGGUCUUGCUGUCACUUAUAGAUGGAUCCGCGCUGCAUUAGCUAGUUGGUAAGGUAACGGCUUACCAAGGCAACGAUGCAUAGCCGACCUGAGAGGGUGAUCGGCCACACUGGAACUGAGACACGGUCCAGACUCCUACGGGAGGCAGCAGUAGGGAAUCUUCCGCAAUGGGCGAAAGCCUGACGGAGCAACGCCGCGUGAGUGAUGAAGGUCUUCGGAUCGUAAAACUCUGUUAUUAGGGAAGAACAUAUGUGUAAGUAACUGUGCACAUCUUGACGGUACCUAAUCAGAAAGCCACGGCUAACUACGUGCCAGCAGCCGCGGUAAUACGUAGGUGGCAAGCGUUAUCCGGAAUUAUUGGGCGUAAAGCGCGCGUAGGCGGUUUUUUAAGUCUGAUGUGAAAGCCCACGGCUCAACCGUGGAGGGUCAUUGGAAACUGGAAAACUUGAGUGCAGAAGAGGAAAGUGGAAUUCCAUGUGUAGCGGUGAAAUGCGCAGAGAUAUGGAGGAACACCAGUGGCGAAGGCGACUUUCUGGUCUGUAACUGACGCUGAUGUGCGAAAGCGUGGGGAUCAAACAGGAUUAGAUACCCUGGUAGUCCACGCCGUAAACGAUGAGUGCUAAGUGUUAGGGGGUUUCCGCCCCUUAGUGCUGCAGCUAACGCAUUAAGCACUCCGCCUGGGGAGUACGACCGCAAGGUUGAAGCUCAAAGGAAUUGACGGGGACCCGCACAAGCGGUGGAGCAUGUGGUUUAAUUCGAAGCAACGCGAAGAACCUUACCAAAUCUUGACAUCCUUUGACAACUCUAGAGAUAGAGCCUUCCCCUUCGGGGGGCAAAGUGACAGGUGGUGCAUGGUUGUCGUCAGCUCGUGUCGUGAGAUGUUGGGUUAAGUCCCGCAACGAGCGCAACCCUUAAGCUUAGUUGCCAUCAUUAAGUUGGGCACUCUAAGUUGACUGCCGGUGACAAACCGGAGGAAGGUGGGGAUGACGCCAAAUCAUCAUGCCCCUUAUGAUUUGGGCUACACACGUGCUACAAUGGACAAUACAAAGGGCAGCGAAACCGCGAGGUCAAGCAAAUCCCAUAAAGUUGUUCUCAGUUCGGAUUGUAGUCUGCAACUCGACUACAUGAAGCUGGAAUCGCUAGUAAUCGUAGAUCAGCAUGCUACGGUGAAUACGUUCCCGGGUCU